UACGAAGGGGGCUAGCGUUGUCCGGAAUCACUGGGCGUAAAGGGCGCGUAGGUGGUGGCUUAAGCGUGCGGUGAAAGCUCGGGGCUCAACCCCGAGUCGGCCGUGCGAACUGGGCUCACUGGAGCAUAGUAGAGGCAGGUGGAAUUCCGGGUGUAGCGGUGGAAUGCGUAGAGAUCCGGAAGAACACCGGUGGCGAAGGCGGCCUGCUGGGCUAUGGCUGACACUGAGGCGCGACAGCGUGGGGAGCAAACAGG
RNAcentral lists this ribosomal RNA (254 nucleotides) under uncultured bacterium. RNAcentral's name for it is "partial 16S ribosomal RNA". It matches the Rfam family "Bacterial small subunit ribosomal RNA", at positions 524 to 776 of the family's 1533-position model. The record is from RNAcentral.